AGAGCGAACGCUGGCGGCAGGCUUAACACAUGCAAGUCGAGCGCCCCGCAAGGGGAGCGGCAGACGGGAGAGUAACACGUGGGAACGUACCUUUCGGUUCGGAACAACCCAGGGAAACUUGGGCUAAUACCGGAUACGUCCGUAAGGAGAAAGAUUUAUCGCCGAAAGAUCGGCCCGCGUCUGAUUAGCUAGUUGGUGAGGUAACGGCUCACCAAGGCGACGGUCAGUAGCUGGUCUGAGAGGAUGAUCAGCCUCACUGGGACUGAGACACGGCCCAGACUCCUACGGGAGGCAGCAGUGGGGAAUAUUGGACAAUGGGCGCAAGCCUGAUCCAGCCAUGCCGCGUGGGUGAUGAAGGCCCUAGGGUUGUAAAGCCCUUUCGGCGGGGAAGAUAAUGACGGUACCCGCAGAAGAAGCCCCGGCUAACUUCGUGCCAGCAGCCC
Molecule: ribosomal RNA, 443 nt
Filed under: uncultured bacterium
Lineage: Bacteria
Description: SSU rRNA
Rfam family: Bacterial small subunit ribosomal RNA
Source: RNAcentral